ACUCGCUACCUGAGAAGCUUGCUGGUUAAGAAGUAGAGUCAGAGGUCGUGGGGCCAGAAGGCGUUCCUGCCGCUGGCUUGGUGGCUAUGUAGCGGAGGGGCAAGCGUCCUCCUGCAUGUUCUGGAAGGUUCUUGUGCUCAACUAGGGCAGUAGCCCCAAGACUUGUAGUCGCCGGCUUCGGGUCCCUGGCGGCCGAGCGGAGUCGCCGCCAUGUUUGGCUGCUUGGUGGCUGGGAGGCUGGUGCAAACAGCUGCACAGCAAGUGGCAGAGGAUAAAUUUGUUUUUGACUUGCCUGAUUAUGAAAGUAUCAACCAUGUUGUGGUUUUUAUGCUGGGAACAAUCCCAUUUCCUGAGGGAAUGGGAGGAUCUGUCUACUUUUCCUAUCCUGAUUCAAACGGAAUGCCUGUAUGGCAACUCCUAGGAUUUGUCACAAAUGGGAAACCAAGUGCCAUCUUCAAAAUUUCAGGUCUUAAAUCUGGAGAAGGAAGCCAACACCCUUUUGGAGCCAUGAAUAUUGUCCGGACUCCAUCUGUUGCUCAGAUUGGAAUUUCAGUGGAAUUAUUGGACAGUUUGGCUCAGCAGACUCCAGUAGGCAAUGCUGCUGUAUCCUCAGUUGACUCAUUCACUCAGAAAUUGCCACAGCCACCCCAACCUUCAGAAACUACCACCCUGAUCAGUCAGCAGCCAUCAACAUCAAGGCAAGACGCUCUACCAGCAAAAAGAUUACGACUUGCUGAACGCUCAGAUGAUGUUUAGCAUUUUUUAGCAAUAAAGUAUUUUUUAAUGAAGUGGUCUGGAACUGAACUGCAAUAUGUCCGAGUUCACACAAAAGAUGUUGGACAACUUCUAUAAUUUUGCUUCAUCGUUUGCUGUCUCUCAGGCCCAGAUGACACCAAGUCCAUCUGAAAUGUUCAUUCCAGCAAAUGUGGUUUUGAAAUGGUAUGAAAACUUUCAAAGACGACUAGCACAGAACCCUCUCUUUUGGAAAACAUAAUUUGAAUAAAAUAAUUUUUAAUGGA
This is an RNA transcript of Lutra lutra (Eurasian river otter), 1019 nucleotides long. It is a transcript of the gene named heat shock protein nuclear import factor hikeshi, with no coding region annotated. The transcript is spliced from 7 exons. NCBI's taxonomy places the organism in Eukaryota, Metazoa, Chordata, Mammalia, Carnivora, Mustelidae. The record is from RefSeq and is a predicted model, not a curated record.